AAGCUCGAAGGCGCGGGUAUCGAACAGGAUUAGAUACCCUGGUAGUCCGCACAGUAAACGAUGGAUGCUCGUUGUUCGCCCGUUUCGGGGUGAGUGACUUAGGGAAACCGUUAAGCAUCCCACCUGGGGAGUACGCCGGCAACGGUGAAACUCAAAGGAAUUGACGGGGGCCCGCACAAGCGGAGGAACAUGUGGUUUAAUUCGAUGAUACGCGAGGAACCUUACCCGGGCUUGAACUGCAGGAGAACGAUACAGAGAUGUUGAGGCCCUUCGGGGCUCCUGUGGAGGUGCUGCAUGGUUGUCGUCAGCUCGUGCCGUGAGGUGUCGGCUUAAGUGCCAUAACGAGCGCAACCCCUUUCGCCAGUUGCCAUCAGGUGAUGCUGGGCACUCUGGCGACACUGCCACCGUAAGGUGCGAGGAAGGUGGGGAUGACGUCAAAUCAGCACGGCCCUUACGUCCGGGGCUACACACGUGUUACAAUGGGUGGUACAGAGAGCAGGGUGCACGCAAGUUCACCCGAAUCACGAAAGCCAUCCUCAGUUCGGAUUGGGGUCUGCAACCCGACCCCAUGAAGCUGGAUUCGCUAGUAAUCGCGCAUCA
Molecule: ribosomal RNA, 600 nt
Filed under: uncultured bacterium
Lineage: Bacteria
Description: bacterial SSU rRNA
Rfam family: Bacterial small subunit ribosomal RNA
Source: RNAcentral